AAAUAAUAAAGUAAAUGAAAGGGAUUGGAAACGGGUGCGUGGGCGUAGCCCAACCUCCAUUCAUUUGUAUUGUAACUAAGCAUACAGAGGAGCAAUAUCUGGCGAAGGACUGUUCUCAUGUUAGUGAAACUGAUGCAUCAAGAAGCCUAAUGUUUCCUCUCAACACUACUGUUAUCUAUUGCACAGAAAAUGUUAUAGUUUUAAUGAUACAGCCCAUUUUUACCCUUAAAAUGCCAUUUAUUUCAUUAUUCUCCCUUUUCUCAAAACAUGCCAAAGUAAAACUGGAAA
Long non-coding RNA from Amphimedon queenslandica, 288 nucleotides. RefSeq lists it as uncharacterized. The transcript has 2 exons. Lineage: Eukaryota; Metazoa; Porifera; Demospongiae; Haplosclerida; Niphatidae. The record is from RefSeq and is a predicted model, not a curated record.